Molecule: ribosomal RNA, 542 nt
Filed under: uncultured bacterium
Lineage: Bacteria
Description: partial 16S ribosomal RNA
Rfam family: Bacterial small subunit ribosomal RNA
Source: RNAcentral
UGGGGAAUAUUGGACAAUGGGCGCAAGCCUGAUCCAGCCAUGCCGCGUGAGUGAUGAAGGCCUUAGGGUUGUAAAGCUCUUUCGCCGACGAAGAUAAUGACGGUAGUCGGAGAAGAAGCCCCGGCUAACUUCGUGCCAGUAGCCGCGGUAAUACGAAGGGGGCUAGCGUUGUUCGGAAUCACUGGGCGUAAAGCGCACGUAGGCGGAUUGUUAAGUCAGGGGUGAAAGCCUGGAGCUCAACUCCAGAACUGCCCUUGAUACUGGCAAUCUCGAGUCCGGAAGAGGUAAGUGGAACUGCGAGUGUAGAGGUGAAAUUCGUAGAUAUUCGCAAGAACACCAGUGGCGAAGGCGGCUUACUGGUCCGGUACUGACGCUGAGGUGCGAAAGCGUGGGGAGCAAAACAGGAUUAGAUACCCUGGUAGUCCACGCCGUAAACGAUGGAGGCUAGCCGUUGGCGAGCAUGCUCGUCAGUGGCGCAGCUAACGCAUUAAGCCUCCCGCCUGGGGAGUACGGUCGCAAGAUUAAAACUCAAAGGAAUUGAC